This 1271-nucleotide long non-coding RNA is filed under the name Helianthus annuus (common sunflower). Its description in RNAcentral is "sRNA HanXRQr2_Chr02g0071101". The record is from RNAcentral. Lineage: Eukaryota; Viridiplantae; Streptophyta; Magnoliopsida; Asterales; Asteraceae.
UAAAUUCAUACAAAAAUUCCUGAUAUUUUCCAGACUUGGUUUUAAAGCGAAACGAGAGGAUCUGACCCGAAUACAUCACCAAAGUCAUUGAAAUAAUCAUCUCCAGAAGGCCAGGAACCAAACCCGACAUCAGCACCGGAAUCGAUGAACAUGUUCACCGGGUCGGAUUCUUGAAACGGGCUACCCGACAAGGCUAUCGGUUCGAAAAUGUCGGGUAUGGAGUCCGAAAAAUCAAACAACUCAGAAGAAGAUAAAGGAUUGUCAAAACACUGAAAUCCAUUAAAUUUCUCAGCUUCAAAACCUUCGUUUACGACGUCGUUUUGAGUCGACUCAGCGGUUGACUCGUCCGUGGAAGCGGACGAGCACCUAAGAACCGAUUUCGGUGACGUCACUUUUUUGUCACUGUUCCAGUCUUCGCCGGAGUUGUAACAAGAAGACGCCGGCGAUGGUUUGUUUUCCGGUGCCGGUAACGGAACAGUGAAGUUUGUUAGCGCGUGUGGUCCACGUAGCUGAAUAGCCGCGUGGUCGUAUACCAUAGCAGCUUCUUCUGCUGUAUUGUAUGUACCAAGCCAUAACCGUACACGUCGUAACGGAUCUCUAAUCUCAGCCGCCCAUUUACCCCACGGUCGUUGCCUUACGCCUCGAAACUUUUUACCUGUGUUACUGUUCUUCGGUUUUGUUACCUUUGUUGUUUUUCUGGCCCCUUUAUUUCUCAACGACGUCGUUUUGGUUAUGUUUAUAGUUUGGUUAUUCGAACGGUUCUGGAUUGUGACCUCGUUAACAAACUUUCUGACUCUUGUACGUCCGGUGCACUCGUCGCCGGAGGAGUCGGUGGCGUAAGAGUCUGUUACUGAUAUUCUUACGACUCUGGGACCGCCGGAGAUGUUGACGGCGUCAGUUGUAGUUAACGAUUUGGUUAUGAGUGUGAUUGAAGAAAUUCGCAUGGGAGAAGGUGAGGUGGAAAAUGAAGAAUAAUAUGUUUUUAAAUGGUGGAAUGAAUAAUAAAAGGAAUAAAUUGAUAUGGUGGUUGACAGGUUGUACGGAAGUGGUGGGGGUGUGAUAUUCCGGUGAGAAAAAGGAGGAGGUCCGGUUUGAAAAGUUUCCGGCGACGGAGGAGAGAGAAAGUGAGGUUUAGUGGCGUGAGGAGUGAAGACGGAAAGGCUGCACCCAACUUGCUGUUUUAUAGGCUCAUAUCAGCGGGAAUUUUAUUUUUAUCUUUAUCAUUAUUUUUGUUAUUUUGUUUAGAUGAAUGUUUCUGUAUAUAUAUAUUU